RNAcentral lists this ribosomal RNA (41 nucleotides) under Balanophora harlandii. RNAcentral describes it as "partial 28S ribosomal RNA". The record is from RNAcentral. Lineage: Eukaryota; Viridiplantae; Streptophyta; Magnoliopsida; Santalales; Balanophoraceae.
UGACCCCAAUUUGAGCAAGAGAACCCGUUGAAUUUAAGCAU